GACGAACGCUGGCGGCGUGCCUAAUACAUGCAAGUAGAACGCACAGUUUAUACCGUAGCUUGCUACACCAUAGACUGUGAGUUGCGAACGGGUGAGUAACGCGUCGGUAACCUGCCUGGUAGCGGGGGAUAACUAUUGGAAACGCUAGCUAAUACCGCAUAAUAUUAAUUAUUGCAUGAUAAUUAAUUGAAAGGUGCAAUUGCACCACUACCAGAUGGACCUGCGUUGUAUUAGCUAGUAGGUGAGGUAACGGCUCACCUAGGCGACGAUACAUAGCCGACCGGAGAGGAUGAGCGGCCACACUGGGACUGAGACACGGCCCAGACGCAUACGGGAGGCAGCAGUAGGGAAUCUUCGGCAAUGGACGAAAGUCUGACCGAGCAACGCCGCGUGAGUGAAGAAGGUUGUCGGAUCGGAAAGCUCUGUUGUAAGAGAAGAACGGGUGUGAGAGUGGAAAGUUCACACUGUGACGGUAUCGGACCAGAAAGGGACGGCUAACUACGUG
RNAcentral lists this ribosomal RNA (505 nucleotides) under uncultured bacterium. RNAcentral's name for it is "partial 16S ribosomal RNA". It matches the Rfam family "Bacterial small subunit ribosomal RNA", at positions 28 to 507 of the family's 1533-position model. The record is from RNAcentral.